UACAAUGUUUUGACUCUUCAUCUUAUUUUAAAUUUUUUACGAUUAAUAUUUUUAUUGUUACUAGAUGAUAAUAUAUGAAUAAUAUUUUAUGCUUGACUAAUUUUUUUAAAAUUUUUUAUAAAUUUUUCAAAUAAGAUGAAUGGUCAAACAUUAAACACGGAAA
This 163-nucleotide microRNA precursor is filed under the name Oryza brachyantha (malo sina). Its description in RNAcentral is "MIR812 microRNA precursor family". It matches the Rfam family "MIR812 microRNA precursor family", at positions 27 to 187 of the family's 205-position model. The record is from Rfam by way of RNAcentral. Lineage: Eukaryota; Viridiplantae; Streptophyta; Magnoliopsida; Poales; Poaceae.